GGUUCCGUGGUGUAGGGGUUAACAUGCACGCCUGUCACGCGAGGGAGAUCGCGGGUUCAAAUCCCGUCGGAACCGCCA
RNAcentral lists this transfer RNA (78 nucleotides) under Enterococcus faecalis. RNAcentral's name for it is "tRNA-Asp". It matches the Rfam family "tRNA". From Rfam's summary of the family: Transfer RNA (tRNA) molecules are approximately 80 nucleotides in length. Their secondary structure includes four short double-helical elements and three loops (D, anti-codon, and T loops). Further hydrogen bonds mediate the characteristic L-shaped molecular structure. tRNAs have two regions of fundamental functional importance: the anti-codon, which is responsible for specific mRNA codon recognition, and the 3' end, to which the tRNAs corresponding amino acid is attached (by aminoacyl-tRNA synthetases). tRNAs cope with the degeneracy of the genetic code in two manners: having more than one tRNA (with a specific anti-codon) for a particular amino acid; and 'wobble' base-pairing, i.e. permitting non-standard base-pairing at the 3rd anti-codon position. The record is from RNAcentral. Lineage: Bacteria; Bacillati; Bacillota; Bacilli; Lactobacillales; Enterococcaceae.